Molecule: ribosomal RNA, 525 nt
Filed under: uncultured bacterium
Lineage: Bacteria
Description: bacterial SSU rRNA
Rfam family: Bacterial small subunit ribosomal RNA
Source: RNAcentral
AGAGUUUGAUCCUGGCUCAGGACGAACGCUGGCGGCGUGCUUAAUACAUGCAAGUCGAGCGAGGUUACUGUUUUGGAUCCCUUCGGGGUGAAGAAGCUUUAACCUAGCGGCGGACGGGUGAGUAACGCGUGGGUAACCUACCCCAAAGUCCGGGAUAACAGCGGGAAACCGCUGCUAAUACCGGAUGCCUUUACCUUGGGGCAUCUUGAGGUAAAGAAAGGUAACGCUUUGGGAUGGGCCCGCGUCCCAUUAGCUAGUUGGUGAGGUAACAGCUCACCAAGGCGACGAUGGGUAGCCGGCCUGAGAGGGUGGACGGCCACACUGGGACUGAGACACGGCCCAGACUCCUACGGGAGGCAGCAGUAGGGAAUAUUGCGCAAUGGACGGAAGUCUGACGCAGCGACGCCGCGUGAGCGAUGAAGGCCUUCGGGUUGUAAAGCUCUGUCCUUGGGGAAGAAGGUCUUCGGACUUGACGGUACCCAAGAAGAAAGCCCCGGCUAACUACGUGCCAGCAGCCGCGGUAAU